Phrynosoma platyrhinos (Desert horned lizard) is the source of this 73-nucleotide non-coding RNA. Lineage: Eukaryota; Metazoa; Chordata; Lepidosauria; Squamata; Phrynosomatidae. The record is from the annotation of a GenBank genome assembly.
GUAAUUGUGGUUUAGCGGUUGAGUGUUAGACUAAAACGCGGGAGAUCAGGGUUCGAUUCCCCACUCAGUCAUG